AGGGCAGUGGCUCAACUGGUAGAGCAUCGGUCUCCAAAACCGACGGUUGGGGGUUCGAGUCCCUCCUGCCCUGCGA
This 76-nucleotide transfer RNA is filed under the name marine actinobacterium MedAcidi-G2B. Its description in RNAcentral is "tRNA-Trp". It matches the Rfam family "tRNA". Rfam says of the family: Transfer RNA (tRNA) molecules are approximately 80 nucleotides in length. Their secondary structure includes four short double-helical elements and three loops (D, anti-codon, and T loops). Further hydrogen bonds mediate the characteristic L-shaped molecular structure. tRNAs have two regions of fundamental functional importance: the anti-codon, which is responsible for specific mRNA codon recognition, and the 3' end, to which the tRNAs corresponding amino acid is attached (by aminoacyl-tRNA synthetases). tRNAs cope with the degeneracy of the genetic code in two manners: having more than one tRNA (with a specific anti-codon) for a particular amino acid; and 'wobble' base-pairing, i.e. permitting non-standard base-pairing at the 3rd anti-codon position. RNAcentral also lists the same sequence under 1 other name. Lineage: Bacteria; Bacillati; Actinomycetota; Actinomycetes. The record is from RNAcentral.